This 419-nucleotide ribosomal RNA is filed under the name uncultured bacterium. RNAcentral's name for it is "bacterial SSU rRNA". It matches the Rfam family "Bacterial small subunit ribosomal RNA", at positions 28 to 489 of the family's 1533-position model. The record is from RNAcentral.
AUUGAACGCUGGCGGAAUGCUUAACACAUGCAAGUCGCACGGGGGCUUCGGCUCGAGUGGCGGACGGGUGAGUAACGCGUAGGAACGUGUCUUGGGGUGGGGGAUAACGCUGGGAAACUGGCGCUAAUACCGCAUAGGGGCUGCGGCCCAAAGCCUGCGAGGGUGCCUUGAGAGCGGCCUGCGUCCGAUUAGCUAGUUGGUGGGGUAAUGGCCUACCAAGGCGACGAUCCGUAGCNGGUCUGAGAGGAUGACCAGCCACACUGGGACUGAGACACGGCCCAGACUCCUACGGGAGGCAGCAGUGGGGAAUAUUGGACAAUGGGCGCAAGCCUGAUCCAGCCAUGCCGCGUGGGUGAAGAAGGCCUUAGGGUUGUAAACCCCUUUCAGCGGGGAAGAUAAUGACGGUACCCGCAGAAGAA